Molecule: small RNA, 61 nt
Filed under: Sinorhizobium meliloti 2011
Lineage: Bacteria; Pseudomonadati; Pseudomonadota; Alphaproteobacteria; Hyphomicrobiales; Rhizobiaceae
Description: putative ncRNA
Source: RNAcentral
AUCUGACCAGGCCGGCCUGUGAUCGGGAAGCGGCCGCGCGGGUGCACGGCCGAUUGAUCGU